RNAcentral lists this ribosomal RNA (413 nucleotides) under uncultured bacterium. Its description in RNAcentral is "bacterial SSU rRNA". It matches the Rfam family "Bacterial small subunit ribosomal RNA", at positions 1001 to 1414 of the family's 1533-position model. The record is from RNAcentral.
AAGAGAUUCGGGUGUGCCCGAAAGGGAAUCGGAACACAGGUGCUGCAUGGCUGUCGUCAGCUCGUGUCGUGAGAUGUUGGGUUAAGUCCCGCAACGAGCGCAACCCUUGUCAUUAGUUGCUCCAUUAAGUUGAGCACUCUAAUGAGACUGCCGGUGACAAACCGGAGGAAGGUGGGGAUGACGUCAAGUCAGCAUGGCCUUUAUGUCUGGGGCCACACACGUGCUACAAUGGCCGGUACAAACCGUUGCAAACUCGCGAGGGUGAGCUAAUCGGAUAAAGCUGGUCUCAGUUCGGAUUGUAGGCUGCAACUCGCCUGCAUGAAGUUGGAAUCGCUAGUAAUCGCGGAUCAGCACGCCGCGGUGAAUACGUUCCCGGGCCUUGUACACACCGCCCGUCACAUCACGAAAGCCGG